UACGUAGGGGGCUAGCGUUGUCCGGAAUCAUUGGGCGUAAAGCGCGUGUAGGCGGUUCGGUAAGUCUGCUGUGAAAGUCGGGGGCUCAACCCUCGGAUGCCGGUGGAUACUGCCGGGCUAGAGUACGGAAGAGGCGAGUGGAAUUCCUGGUGUAGCGGUGAAAUGCGCAGAUAUCAGGAGGAACACCAAUUGCGAAGGCAGCUCGCUGGGACGUUACUGACGCUGAGACGCGAAAGCGUGGGGAGCAAACAGG
Molecule: ribosomal RNA, 253 nt
Filed under: uncultured bacterium
Lineage: Bacteria
Description: partial 16S ribosomal RNA
Rfam family: Bacterial small subunit ribosomal RNA
Source: RNAcentral